This 475-nucleotide ribosomal RNA is filed under the name Thalassiosira rotula. RNAcentral's name for it is "partial Eukaryotic large subunit ribosomal RNA". It matches the Rfam family "Eukaryotic large subunit ribosomal RNA", at positions 58 to 537 of the family's 3401-position model. The record is from RNAcentral. Lineage: Eukaryota; Bacillariophyta; Thalassiosirophyceae; Thalassiosirales; Thalassiosiraceae.
AAAGAAACUAACAAGGAUUCCCCUAGUAACGGCGAGCGAAGCGGGAAGAGCUCAAAUUUGAAAUCUGGUAGACUCAGUCUAUCCGAGUUGUAAUCUAUAGAAGCAGUUUCCGUGCUGGCCCAUGUACAAGUCCCUUGGAACAGGGCGUCAUAGAGGGUGAGAAUCCCGUUCUUGACAUGGACUACCAGUGCUUUGUGAUCUGUUUUCAACGAGUCGAGUUGUUUGGGAAUGCAGCUCAAAAUGGGUGGUAAAUUCCAUCUAAAGCUAAAUAUUGGCGAGAGACCGAUAGCGAACAAGUACCGUGAGGGAAAGAUGAAAAGCACUUUGGAAAGAGAGUUAAACAGUAUGUGAAAUUGUUGAAAGGGAAACGAUUGAAGUCAGUCAUGUCUAUUGGACUCAGCCGGUUCUGCCGGUGUAUUUCCUUUAGAUGGGGUCAACAUCAGUUUUGACCGCUGGAUAAAGGUUUGAAGAAUGU